AGUGACACAUAGGCAGGGA
This 19-nucleotide non-coding RNA is filed under the name Mus musculus (house mouse). The record is from RNAcentral. Lineage: Eukaryota; Metazoa; Chordata; Mammalia; Rodentia; Muridae.